This 404-nucleotide ribosomal RNA is filed under the name Gephyrocapsa oceanica. RNAcentral's name for it is "partial Eukaryotic large subunit ribosomal RNA". It matches the Rfam family "Eukaryotic large subunit ribosomal RNA", at positions 1299 to 1699 of the family's 3401-position model. Lineage: Eukaryota; Haptophyta; Isochrysidales; Noelaerhabdaceae. The record is from RNAcentral.
GAAUGAACUAGCCCUGAAAAUGGAUGGCGCUCAAGCGUGUUACCCAUACCUCGCCGCUACAGUAGAUUCGACGCUGUAGCGAGUAGGCAGGCGUGGAGGUCAGUGACGAAGCCUUGGGGGUGACCCCGGGUAGAACGGCCUCUAGUGCAGAUCUUGGUGGUAGUAGCAAAUACUCAAAUGAGAACUUUGAGGACUGAAGUGGGGAAAGGUUCCGUGUGAACAGCAGUUGGACACGGGUUAGUCGAUCCUAAGCCAUAGGGAAACUCCGUUUUAAAGUGCGCACUUGUGCGUCGCCCGGCGAAAGGGAAACCGGUUAACAUUCCGGUACCUGGAUGUGGAUUCUCCACGGCAACGUAACUGAAAGCGAAGACGACGGCGGGGGCCCUGGGAAGAGUUCUGUUUUU